AACGCUGGCGGCAUGCUUAACACAUGCAAGUCGCACGAACCUUUCGGGGUUAGUGGCGGACGGGUGAGUAACGCGUAGGGAUCUAUCCACGGGUGGGGGAUAACUUUGGGAAACUGAAGCUAAUACCGC
This 129-nucleotide ribosomal RNA is filed under the name Komagataeibacter oboediens DSM 11826. RNAcentral's name for it is "16S ribosomal RNA". It matches the Rfam family "Bacterial small subunit ribosomal RNA", at positions 32 to 172 of the family's 1533-position model. The record is from RNAcentral. Lineage: Bacteria; Pseudomonadati; Pseudomonadota; Alphaproteobacteria; Acetobacterales; Acetobacteraceae.